RNAcentral lists this ribosomal RNA (774 nucleotides) under uncultured Neocallimastigales. RNAcentral's name for it is "partial large subunit ribosomal RNA". It matches the Rfam family "Eukaryotic large subunit ribosomal RNA", at positions 24 to 614 of the family's 3401-position model. Lineage: Eukaryota; Fungi; Neocallimastigomycota; Neocallimastigomycetes; Neocallimastigales. The record is from RNAcentral.
UAUGUGAUCGUCUCUCGCAUAUCAAUAAGCGGAGGAAAAGAAACUAACAAGGAUUCCCCUAGUAACGGCGAGUGAAGCGGGAAGAGCUCAAAUUUGAAAUCUUAAAGGGUUUCCCUUUACGAAUUGUAGUUUAAAGAAGUGUUUUCUGUUGAGGUUUUGGUAAAAGUUCUUUGGAAUAGGACAUCAUAGAGGGUGAGAAUCCCGUAUUUGACCUUCACUUUCAACUUUGUGAUACACUUUCAAAGAGUCGGAUUGUUUGGGAAUGCAGUCCAAAAUGGGUGGUAAAUUUCAUCUAAAGCUAAAUAUUGGCGAGAGACCGAUAGCGAACAAGUACCGUGAGGGAAAGAUGAAAAGAACUUUGAAAAGAGAGUUAAACAGUACGUGAAAUUGUCAAAAGGGAAGCGUUUGACACCAGUGUUGUUUUUCUGAAAAUCAAUUAAAGAACUGUUUAUGCUAAGUUGUUUAGACUUUAUCAGCUAUCUGCUUAGUUUUGAGCUUUUCUUUAAUGCACUUUUCAGUUAACAAGUCAACAUCAAUUUCUUUUGCUGUAAAAAAGCUUGAGGAAGGUGGCUUGAGAUUCGUCUUAAGUGUUUAUAGCCUCUUGCCUAUGCAGUCGGAGAGAUUGAGGUCUGCAGCGUAGAUCCUUCGGGGCUAAAUGCAUUUGUGCUAAGUUAUAGCAUUUUAUAGACAACUUGUUGACUAUGAUUUGUCUUGUAGCUUACUCGCUUAUGUUAUUUUACCUACGCUUAGGAUGUUGAACGCGCACAGAGUCUC